Molecule: unclassified non-coding RNA, 4035 nt
Filed under: Hevea brasiliensis (rubber tree)
Lineage: Eukaryota; Viridiplantae; Streptophyta; Magnoliopsida; Malpighiales; Euphorbiaceae
Source: RNAcentral
GAUAGUGGAGAGAAUUACCAGAAGCUGGCAAAUAACUGACGACUAAAGAAAAACGAAUGAGGCAAAAUCUAAGCAACUCAGGUCAAGGUAACAAAUGUGAAGAGAAGCUCCCUAAAGUUAAUUGGUCCCAACAUGCCAAUGCACAUGAUAAUUUUUCAUCUGAGAAAAAGUUUUUGAGUUCAAAUUUUCUCUUUUCACUAGAAAGCCAGAAACCUCAAGGUUCUGCAGCUAUGAGGUUAACAUGCUGUCAAAUUCAGAGUUUGCAAAGAUUGCAGAAUCCAGAAAUUGAAAAGGCUUGGCGCACUCUUUCCAGUCUUCAGAUUUCUCGCAGGAACUACUUGCAGCCGGGGAAAACUGGUCCCUUUAAGGGUGCAAGGAAUGACUCGUUACAGGAUGUUGGACAACCUACUUUACAAAGCUUAUCUAACAGUAGGAAAUACUCUGAACGUAUGCAUGUACCUCAACACUUUGGUGAAUCCAGUGUGAGGAAUAAUGAAUCUGAAAGGAACACUGGCAAUGUUUUUCCACAAGAUAAUGCUAGAGCUGCUGAAGCUGGAAAUGAUACAGGGCAGCAAAGUGACAUUAAAGGAUCGGCAGCUAACAAUACUCAGUCUAAAGCAUAUGCUAGUUCAUUCAGCAAUCACAUUGUGCAUACUAACCAAAAUAAAGAAUCUACAGAAGCUCUGGCUGAUAUUGAUGAUGAUGAUCUACUUGGGAACAUUGAUGUGGACCAAAUAGUUAUGGAACAUUACCAUUCUACUUGCACCCCUCAACCAUCAGUUUCCAAGUUUCCACCCAUAACACCAACCAUAGAUAAAAAUAAUUUUGUGAGAUCAGAGGAGACAUUUUUGCCUCCUGAAUUGAGCCAAAACUGCAAUCAUGGAUGUAAGCUAGGACUUUGCCCAGAAGCUGCUAAUCAUUUACCAGAAAUGAAGGACGUGCUAAUUUCUGUGUCAAAUGAACUACUUGACAAUACUGCCAACCUGAGUCCAGUGCAGAUAGAGAAGCUUCGCCAGGAUAGGUUACAGCUGAAUAAGCAAAUUCAGCAGCUUGAGAGAUAUCUGCAUGAUAAGGAAAGGCAAAAGUCACAUUUUUCUACUUCCACAGCGAAUUUCCAAUAUGAAACACCACAAUCUGCUGCUUGCAGAAUAGAUACCCCGAGAUUUAAUUCACAGGUUCAUCUUCAAAAUGAACCUGGUAGUUACGACAAUUGGAAUUUGCCAUCAGUUUCAUUCUCUUCUGUAAAUAGUUUUGGUGUAUCAUCUGGUCCUAUAGAGAGGGAGCCUUACAUUCCAAAGUUCAUUGAAGUUAACUAUAUUGAAGGUUCAAAUGAUCCAAAGUGGAGCAGUACAAAUUUCCCUUGGACAAAAAAGUUGGAGGCCUACAACAAGAAAGUGUUCGGAAAUCACUCAUUUCGGCCCAAUCAAAGAGAGGUCAUUAAUGCUACAAUGAGUGGGUUUGAUGUUUUUGUUUUAAUGCCAACUGGAGGUGGAAAGAGCCUGACAUACCAGCUGCCUGCUCUAAUUUGUCCAGGAAUAACCUUGGUAAUUUCACCUCUUGUGUCACUUAUUCAAGAUCAAAUAAUGCAUCUAUUGCAGGCAAAUAUAUCUGCUACUUACUUAAGUGCCAAUAUGGAGUGGACUGAGCAACAGGAGAUCUUAAGGGAACUCUGUUCUGAUUACUGUAAAUACAAGUUGUUAUAUGUCACACCAGAGAAAGUUGCCAAAAGUGAUGUUCUUUUACGACAUUUGGAUAGCUUAAAUGCUCGUGGCUUGCUUGCUAGGAUUGUUAUUGAUGAAGCUCAUUGUGUGAGUCAAUGGGGACAUGAUUUUAGACCGGACUACAAGGAACUCGGUAUCUUGAAAAAGAAAUUUGAGAAAACUCCUGUUUUAGCUUUAACAGCAACUGCAACAGCCAGUGUAAAGGAGGAUGUUGUACAAGCUCUUGGUCUUGUUAACUGCAUUGUUUUCCGGCAAAGUUUUAAUCGCCAAAAUCUAUGGUAAGUGUUGAACAUAGAUGAACUGCUGCCAUAUUUUAAAUUGAUCACUUAUUGUUAACACUGCAGGUAUUCUGUCAUCCCCAAGACAAAGAAGUGUUUGGAUGAUAUUGACAAGUUCAUUAAAGAAAACCAUUUUGAUGAAUGUGGUAUUAUUUAUUGUCUUUCAAGAAUGGACUGUGAAAAGGUUGCUGAAAAAUUGCAGGAAUGUGGACAUAAAGCAGCGUUUUACCAUGGUAACAUGGAUUCUGCACAACGCGCCUUCAUUCAGAAGCAGUGGAGCAAAGAUGAAAUUAAUAUAAUUUGUGCUACAGUUGCAUUUGGAAUGGGUAUCAACAAACCAGAUGUCCGCUUUGUAAUUCAUCAUUCUCUCCCAAAAUCUAUUGAAGGUUACCACCAGGAGUGUGGUCGUGCUGGUCGAGAUGGUCAGCGCUCAUCUUGUGUGUUGUAUUACAGUUAUAGUGACUAUAUACGAGUCAAGCAUAUGAUUAUCCAAGGACAGAUGGAGCAAAGUCCCUGGACUCCUGGAUAUAAUCGUACUAAUAUGACAAAUUCAGAGAGGGUACUGGAGAAGAAUACUGAAAAUCUUCUACGAAUGGUCAGUUACUGUGAAAAUGAUGUUGACUGUAGACGCCUCCUUCAACUUCUACAUUUUGGAGAAAAGUUUGAUUCUGGAAACUGCAAAAAAACAUGUGAUAAUUGUUCCAAGAUCAAAACUUUAGUGGAGAAGGAUGUCACUGAGAUCGCAAAGCAAUUGGUUGAACUGGUCAAGAUAACAGGGCAGCAGUUUUCUUCAUCUCAUAUUUUAGAAGUGUACAGGGGCUCCUUGAACCAACAUGUCAAGAGAUACAGACAUGAAACUUUGAGCCUGCAUGGGGCUGGAAAACAUCUGGCCAAGGGUGAAGCUUCCCGAAUAUUGCGUCAUCUUGUCACUGAAGAUUUUCUUGUGGAGGAUGUUAAGAAAAGUGAUAUUUAUGGAUCUGUUUCAUCAGUACUGAAGGUGAAUGAAUCCAAGGCCCACAAUCUAUGCUCCAGUCGGCAGACUAUCAUAUUAAGAUUUCCUUCAGCUGUAAAACCAUCUAAACAGAGCAAAUUUGAUGCGACUCCUGCAAAAAGCUCACUGACAUAUGGGAAGCAAAGUCCUUCACCUGUUGACACUCCUGCACAAGCAGCACAACCUCAAUCUGAAGUGGACUUGAAUCUAUCUGCCAAAUUAUAUUCUGCUUUAAGAAUGCUCCGAACUACCCUUGUUAAAGAAGCUGGGGAGGGGGUUAUGGCGUACCAUAUAUUUGGUAAUGCCACACUGCAGCACCUUUGCAAAAGAAUUCCCAGAACAAAAGAAGAACUGCUUGAGAUAAAUGGCAUUGGAAAGGCCAAGGUAAGUAAGUAUGGAGAUCGUUUGCUACAAACAAUUGAAUCUACAAUCAGGGAAUACUAUAAGACAGACAGGAAUAGCAGCGGUAGCAAUGACAGCACUGAUUCGAUAAAGAGGAGAAGAGAUGCAACUAGGGCACCAAAUGGGAAUGUGGAAGAGGAGGAUGACUUCACCAAAAGUACUGGUCGGUCAAAGAAAAGGGCAGCAAAGUUGCAUAACGCAGAUACGGAGGUUUAUAAUUGCAGGGAGACAGAUCACAACCAAUGCCUGGAUGAUGACCUAGAUUUUGAGGAUUCAUAUCAUGAUCAAGAAACUAAUGGCGCAGAAAUAGAGGCCGAAAAGAACGGUGCAGGACGAGUGCUUCCCUCAUGGUUAACACCAGGAAACAAGAUUAAAAGUUCAAACCAUAAUUUGUUUCAAGAAUAUGCCAUGAACAGCUAAGUUUCUUGAUGUAUGCUAACUUUAUUCUGCUUCUUCAAGAAAGAAUUCAAUCAAAACAUGAUUCAUUCUGUACAGUUUUGUAUCUCUGGUUCUUAUUAAAGGCAAACGCCUUUUAUAAGUAUCAUGUUACAGAGUUCUCAGUAAGUGCGACAUCUGGCUAAAAGCCUGCAGCUGGUAAAUAAUGUAUUCUGAAAGGUGAUUAAAUUUAUGGCACUUAUCGUCA